GGAAUAUUGGUCAAUGGUCGAGAGACUGAACCAGCCAAGUAGCGUGCAGGAUGACGGCCCUAUGGGUUGUAAACUGCUUUUGCAGGGGAAUAAAGUGCAUCACGCGUGGUGUUUUGUAUGUACCCUGAGAAUAAGGACCGGCUAAUUCCGUGCCAGCAGCCGCGGUAAGACGGAAGGUCCGGGCGUUAUCCGGAUUUAUUGGGUUUAAAGGGAGCGCAGGCUGGAUAUUAAGCGUGACGUGAAAUGCCGCGGCUCAACCGUGGAAGUGCGUCGCGAACUGGUGUCCUUGAGUGCGGUCGACGCAUGCGGAAUUCGUGGUGUAGCGGUGAAGUGCUUAGAUAUCACGAAGAACCCCGAUUGCGAAGGCAGCGUGCGAGUCCGUAACUGACGCUAAAGCUCGAAGGUGCGGGUAUCGAACA
Molecule: ribosomal RNA, 419 nt
Filed under: uncultured Prevotella sp.
Lineage: Bacteria; Pseudomonadati; Bacteroidota; Bacteroidia; Bacteroidales; Prevotellaceae
Description: bacterial SSU rRNA
Rfam family: Bacterial small subunit ribosomal RNA
Source: RNAcentral